GUUUUUCUUUAUCUUU
This 16-nucleotide small RNA is filed under the name Arabidopsis thaliana (thale cress). RNAcentral describes it as "ATSL082050". The record is from RNAcentral. Lineage: Eukaryota; Viridiplantae; Streptophyta; Magnoliopsida; Brassicales; Brassicaceae.